RNA transcript from Musa acuminata AAA Group (dessert banana), 3186 nucleotides. It is a transcript of the gene named F-box protein At5g39450-like, with no coding region annotated. The record is from RefSeq and is a predicted model, not a curated record. The transcript is spliced from 3 exons. NCBI's taxonomy places the organism in Eukaryota, Viridiplantae, Streptophyta, Magnoliopsida, Zingiberales, Musaceae.
CUCUGGAUAAAGACUUGGUGUGCCAAGAGACGAUUCACAUGGCAGUAUUGUGACUGCACAUCUCCACAGAAUGUGAAAGCAUAAAUAAGUUGCUUGCGGUAUGACACACCACAUACAUCCACCUCAGGAUCUAAUGAGGUGCUGAUUUCAAACUUGCUGAGCACUAAAGAAACAAACAGCAUAUGAAUCAAUUAGAUUGUGCAAUUUACUACCAUUCCACAGUUGAGGAGCAUCUGUUCCUGUUCAGUCAGUCAUCUUUGCUGCUGCACAACCGAGUAGUAGACUCUCCCACAGCUCACGGUUGCAUUGUAAUUUUUACAUAUGAAACCUGCUCCUCUAGUGAGCAUCUUCUCUGGUUCACCUUUGAGAAGAGCCAUUGAGAAGAGCCAAGAAAGGUUCUACCUUUAUGGCUCUGUGCUGAGAUAAGAGUAGCAAGGAGCUACCUUCUGCUCGACUUUGGCCUUUGCUCUAGUAUUUGAUCAAGAAGAGAGAAGAAAGGAGACUCCUUUGCGGUUUGGGAACCAUGUCCGGUGGGGUGGCGGUGGAGGCGGAGGAUUGCGGCUCCGGUUUUUUCUUAGGGCUGCCGGACGACGUGCUGGCGCUCAUCUCUGCCGGGCUCCGCCACGGUGACCUCUGCGCUCUUGCCCUCUGCUGCCGCGGCCUCCACGCGGCCAUAGCGGCCUCCGAGAGGGUCUGGCUCGCGCAGUGCCGUCGCCUCGGCCCGCCGCCCCACCUCCUUUCCAGGUGGCGAAUGGGCGUUCGCUCCUACCGCGCCCUCUGCCGCUUCCUCGCCGCCGUCGCACCGCUUCUUGGCAUAUGGGUGCAUCAGAACCCGGAGCUGGGCAACGUCGUCUGCGUCAUCUGGGGUUUCCUCUCCAUCGUCGGCGUCCGCGUCAUUCCCCAGGAACUCGGGCCCCUGGGCCUCGACGCCGGACCGCUUCUCUGGGCGCCGGUUUUCGAGAUCCUCGCCGAUGCCAACGGCGCGCCCUCUCGCUUCUUCCUCCACGGCCGAGACUGCGGCUUCGACUGCCUCUACCCUGGCUUCGUCCGAUCCAUCGAGUCCUCUUGCAACGUGCUCUUUCUAGAGGCCGAUGCCCGUCACAUAGUCUCCACCUUUCCCUCGAAACAGCAUUUGUUCCCCGCCCGGAGCUUCCCUGCCAUUUCUGAAUCCAAAGGUCCAAGUUUAGGAAGACAAUAUUGCCGGUCGUAUGCCACCGUAAUCUACCGUUCCUUGGCUGCUCCGCGGGCUUCUUCCCUUCCCUUCAGCCGAUUGCCAUUUAGAGAUGGCCGCCGGCUUCUAGAAUUGGUGGCGGCCAGAGUCCGCCUCAAGGUCCCCCGGGACCUGGCGUCUGCUCCUCUAUUCGAACGAUCCUCUUUUUGCGAUGAUGCCAGUCUCUUGGCAGAUCGAAGGUUGGAGCUCAUCGAAAUGCUUAAGCUUAAUGGAGGAUGGAUCAAUCGGGAUGUGGCUGAGUUGGCAUUAGGCUUGAUGGAGCACCAAAGUGCUGAAAACAUCAACGCCAUCGACGACCGGCCAUGUCCUGCUGCUCACCAAGGGAGAGCCUUUUCCUCCAUAACUGGGUACUUGAAACAAUUCAUGGGCAGGUCCAGCUUUCCCAGUGCAUCCUGUUCGAUUUCGAGAAAUGGGAGUUCUUCGGGCAGCAGCAAGAACAAGCAUGCGCAGCUCCACGAGUUCUUGAGGUCAGGCGAUCUCAUCGGACUGAGCUUACGAGCAACACACAUGAGGCUAACUACGUACAGGGCAUGGCCGAACAUGCACGACAACAGGAUCGCGCUGUAUAAACUCCCAUUACAGGGUCCAAUGGCUGGCCGAGAGUAUGCAGGCCUGUGGGGUGGCACCUUUGGCUGGCCUCCGGGACAGCCUUCCGAGGGCAAAUCAGAGAAGGCCUUGUUCUUCUUGUUGCUUUCUUACGAGGAGGUCGAAGGUCAUCUUCUGCUAAUUGGCACCAAGAUACUGGAAGGAACCCAUUAUGUCCUCCACCCCAAUGGCUCGGCAAUGUUCAUCGCGAAGAUGGAUGAGAUAGGAUCAGAGCCAUUCCCAUGGGAGACUAGUGCUGAGUCUCUUCAGGUGGAAGUAAAAAAUAGUUACUCCGGGGAGGGGAUUGUGAGUGGUUAUGGGUUCCAGUACCCAGGAUUGAAGCCUGGCUCCUUGUUCGUGCUCCAGAAUGGACUACUUGCAUUUGUGUGGAAGGAGUCGAAGUCUGUCCUGACCUUGCAGAGAGUAGACUUGCAAGAGCUUCUAAAGAAAGGAGAAAGAGUGCCCGUGUUGCCGCCAAUUGCAAACUUUGCCUAUCUUACAAAGUCUUACUCUAACGUCUUCGCAGGCUUCCCUACUAAUUCAGGUAUCAUACAAUUUACAUAUUUUUUGAGAGGCAAUGCCUCCAGCAUACAAAUUUAUCUCGUUUCCUGCACGAACAAGAGGCCAAGUAUCUACCAUCUAGCAUUAAUAGUUAUCUAGUUUUAUCCAGUUUCCUGCUUGGAUAAGGAAUACGAAUAGGCUUCUUUAGAUGUGGCAUCAGGUUUCAUUCCACAUAUCUGAUAAAUCCUCAAGAAUCAAGUGGUUGGAAGCUGCCAAGUGAGCAUCGACUAUAGGAGUUUUGUGAAGCUCGUACGAUUAGUGGGCAUAACUCUAAAACCGUCGUUGCUCUUGCUCCUGAUCGAGAAACGGAGCAGACGUACUAGUGGGUCUCUGAGGUCGAUGCUAAUUGUUCAAUGUUGCAGAUCGGAAUUUGCCUUUGUUCAAGCUGGUUACUCGAUUUAAUUGUGUUGGUCCAUCGAAGGCAAAGCACCAACUCUUGAAACAUGACAGACUGCAGACCAAAGCUUCUUCCUGUUGGCACAACCAAAGAGAAUGUCUCAGAAGCUUUUCCACAGAUUAAGCAAUCAAUCUACAGUGUCAAAGGCCAUCCUUUGUCUUCAUGAGAUUUCUCAAGUGUGAAACCUGUUUGAUGGCUACUUAGUUUGUCCUCUCUUCACUACAUCUGAUAGAAUCUACGAGGCAUAUUGAUCCGGGCAAAGUGUUUUCAGUCAACGAAGCUUUUGAUGAAUACCGAAUGAACUUAUCUUCCGUUCUACAAUAUGGAAGAACAUUGUAGAAUUAUCCCAAGAGCAUAUUUAUUCUGAGUGAGAAUUCAUGAAUAAAAUUAGUGGUCAAUUGUGUAAUCUUUA